Molecule: long non-coding RNA, 790 nt
Organism: Gadus macrocephalus (Pacific cod)
Lineage: Eukaryota; Metazoa; Chordata; Actinopteri; Gadiformes; Gadidae
Exons: 3
Source: RefSeq, a predicted model, not a curated record
UGUAAUGUAUGUUAAGUGUGUUUAGUGUUUUGCAAAUCACUGUGUGUAUUGUUUUGCAAAAAGUGUGAAGCUGACAUUGUGCUUAUAGUGGUGCAGAUCUGGGCUCAUGUUAUGAUCCUUGAGUGUAAGGUUUUGAUAAUAGUGUCAUACUUUUGAUUUUAGUGUUUAAGCAAUCGAAAAAAACUGUAAUGCUACGCUACCCUCGGCCAGUCUUCCCAUGUGGUGACAUUUUAUUUUACCAAAGUUAAGCUUAUCUAAGCUUGUUAUUGAUGGGCUAGUGUAAAACAAUUCCAAUUGUGUAGGCCUAGUGGUUAUAUAUCUGAGACUGAUGCAAUCCAUUUCAUUAUCCUUCUCCAGACCAGAUAUGCUGCAAGUGCCUUUGCGUGGACUGAAAAAAGGUGGUUGCAUAUGCAUUACAUUGUGAAAAUACCGAAGUAAGAACUGUGACCAGAUAUGGAUCUUCUCCUUGUGGACAUGGCCGACAAACACACUGUUGAGUCGUGACUGCUCCAUCGUGGAGCGGAGCCAAUUCUUCAAACGACGCAGGGCACUGAAGCUCCGCUCCGCUUCGCAAGAAGAGACUGGGACCACAAGCAACAGCCUAACAAGAGCCUCCACCUGGGUGUUGCUCCAACAUGGCCAAACGGCCAAGGCCCUCUUGGUUGAACCUCUCAUCCAGCUGCAUGCUUGCUGUAUCGAUGGCAGAGAAAAAUUGCACCCUGAAAAAGUCCUCUGCCGAAGACGGGGUGUGGCUGUUUGCAGGCCCACCACAUCGGUUAGCUGGUUUCCG